GCGCCUUUGUGUGCCAUUGUUUGCUAAACUCCCGGUUUCAGCCUCACCAUUGCAAGAAUUGCAGUUCACAUAUGGAUUGCUGCGACAUGCUGUGUGGCCAUGUUCCAGAAGCAUUCUCUCCUGAUGUUUCGCCCACAUCUAUGGCAGGCAUCCUCAGAGGUUGUGAGGUAUGGAGAAAACUAAGCAAAGAGGUUAAUAUAUAUCUGUGGAAAGUCUAGGGUGAGAGAGGUCAGUGUGAAUGUUGUGUAGUUAAUCACUUUGAUUAGCAUUGAAAAGCUUAUCUGCUGUCUUCUUCCUGCCUCUGGGGCAUCCUUUGUUUAGAGUCGUUAACUGCCCUUGGUUGAUUCAUGUCUGGAAAUCCUCUGUUUUCAGAGUAUUGCUUUUUAUUUACUGUUCUGAUUUUUGAGUUUUUUAAUACUGGUAGCCAAAUUUUGUUCAUUUUCAUGGUUUCUUCCUUUCUGUUGAAGUUGUCCACAUGCUUGUGGAUUUCAAUGGCUUCUCUGUGUAGUCUGACAUGAUAGUUGUUAGAAUGGUCCAGCAUUUUUGUGUUCUCAAAUAGUAUUCUGUGUCCAGGCUGGUUCAUCAAAUGCUAUGCUAUGGCUGAUUUCUGUGGUUGAAUUAGUCUGCAGUGCCUUUCAUGUUCUUUGACUCUUGUUUGGGCGCUGCGUUUGGUGGUCCCUCUGUAGACUUGUCCACAGCUGCAUGGUAUCUGGUAGACUCCUGCAGAAGAGAGAGGAUCCCUCUUGUCCUUCGCUGACUGUAGCAUUUGUUGGAUUUUCUUCGUGGGUCUGUAGAUAGUUUGUAGGUUGUGCUUCUUCAUCAGCUUCCCUAUGCGGUCAGUAGUUCCCUUGAUGUAUGGGAAGAACACUUUUCCUCUGGGUGGAUCUUUGUCUUGACUCUCAUGGCUUGUUCUUGGCCUUGCAGCUCUUCUGAUGUCUGUGGUGGAGUCUCCAUUGGCCUGUAGAGCCCAGUUUAGGUGGUUUAGUUCACCUUGGAGGAGGUGAGGUUCGCAGAUUCUUUGUGCACAGUCUGUCAGGGCUUUGAUUGUGCUCCUUUUUUGACUUGGGUGAUGGUUGGAGUUUUAUUAUCCCAUGGGUGGGACUCAAAGUGGUGAACAAUGGUUAAAGCAACAGAAAUUACAUGAUACAAAAGCACAACAUCAUGACCCCAUUUUUUUUUUUUUCGUGUCAGGAGUUACUUGAGAAAUUGCAAGUUGCUUCUGGUGUGAGAGAAUUGGCCGUCUGCAAGGACAUUGCCCAAAGGACGCCCAGAUGUUUUGAUGUUUUUACCAUCCUUGUGGGAGGCUUCUCUCAUGUCCCCACAUGGGGAGCUGGAGCUGACAGAGGGAGCUCAUCCACGCUUUCCCCAGAUUCGAACCGGCAAGCUUCAGGUCAGCAACCCAACCUUCAAGUCAGCAGUCCUGCCAGCAAAAGGAUUUAACCCAUUGUGCCACCCCAAAUAAAACAGAUAAACAAAUAACACAUUACAUCUAUCUAAAAGGAUAAAAAAAAAUUCGGCCUAGGACAAAACAACAAAACUACACAUCCCAGAAACACUAAACUUGGCAACACAACCCCUCAUCCAUGCCUCUACGUUCAUACAACAAAAAGAAAAGAAAAGAAAAAUAAAGUCCUAAUUAGAGGGAAAGGAAUAAUUGUUUUUAUCCAAUUGCUGCCAGUUAGAAGGCUAAGCUCUGCCCACUUGGUCUCCUAGCAACCUACUCAGCCCAGGGGACAGGCACAGUUAGGCCUCAGGCCUCUUCCACACUGCCUAUAAAAUACAGAUUAUCUUAUUUUAACUGGAUUAUAUGGCAGUGUAGACUCAAGGCCCUUCCACACAGAUAUAUUACCCAUUUAUAAUCUUAUAUUAUCUGCUUAUACAAUACUACACAGGGACAUAGACCCCCCUCUACCCUCACCACUUUCACAUACACAAACAACCAAAUGCAUACUAAACAUAAAGACAGCCAUACAACAGACAUUCAAUACCACCACUACCUCUACAAGUUCUCACCAACACCACCAGACAACGCCACAGCAACACGUGGCUGGGCACAGCUAGUAAACCAUAUAUAACAAGCUUAAGAAAUACGACAUGUGCCACUAAAAUUCCCUGGGCCUCAGGUCACUGAGGUUGUCCAUAAAACAUUAUACUAUACUAUAUACGAUAGACAUCAAACUAAAUUUGUGAUUGCAUGAUUAGACAACAAGCAUGAUUAGCAGCCUUAGGAAAAGACUUACAAGUAUGUCGAGUUAAUUGCCUCUCAGAAUUAGCAGGCUUGUCUUAAUUUUUUAAAUUGUUGUUUUAAAGGUCCUUAGGGAAAAAAUCUUGAGCUUCAAGUUUGUCAAUAUGAGAAAAAUACGAAAAUAAUACUCUGCCCUUCAGCACUUGCAAUGAAAAAGGACACUAGAAAGAGAACUGUCCAAUUCAGUUUUUUUGAAAUUGUACAGGUUUUGUGAGUGGCUUCUUCCUAAAGUGUUAUUGCAUUGGGUUGCUGUGAGUUUUCCGGGCUGUAUGGCCCUGUUCCAGAAGCAUUCUCUCUUGACAUUUUGCCAGCAUCUAUGGCAGGGUUGUGAGGUGUGUUGGAAAACUAUGCCACAGCUUAAGAUAAAGUAAAGGUAAAGGUUUCCCUGACAUUAAGUCCAGUCAUGUCUGACUCUGAGGGUUGGUGCUCAUCUCCAUUUCUAAGCUGAAGAGCCGGCGUUGUCCUCCAAGGUCAUGUUGCCGACAUGAUUGCAUGGAGUGCCGUUACCUUCCCGCUGGAACGGUACCUAUUGAUCUACUCACAUUGGCAUGUUUUCAAACUGCUAGGUUGGCAGAACAGCUUAAGAUAGUUGGGCUAAAACUAACAAAAUGAACUUCAACAAGGGCAAAUAUAGCAUACUCCACUUAGGCAGAAAAAAAUGAAAUGCAAAGAUACAGAAUGAGGGAUGCCUGGCUUGACAACAAUACGUGUGGACAGGAUCUUGCAAUCUUUGUGGACAUUAAGUUGAACAGUGUGAGGCAGCAGCUAAAAAGGCCAAUGGGAUUUUGGGUUGCAUCAAAAGGAGUCUAGUGUCUAGUUCAAGGGAAGGCAUGGUGCCUCUCUCUUCUGCUUUGGUCAGACCUCACCUGGAAUACUGUGUCCAAUUCUGGGAAGCACAGUUCAAAGGUGUCCAGAGAAGGGCGACUAAAAUGAUCAAAGGUCUGGAGACCAUGAAUCCCUAUGAGGAGCAUUUUAAAGAACUAGGAAUGUUUAGCCUGCAAAAGAGAAGGCUGAGCGGAGACACGAUAGCCAUGUACAAAUAUGUGAAAGGGUGUGAUGUCCCAUGGGCCAUAGAGUCCUGAUCCCAGUGCCAUUGUGGCUGAUGAGGAGGGAAACAGAGGAUUUUUGCCGGCUCAGCAAGAGCCGGAAUCUUUCCAGAUGCCUAUUGUUGAUGUUUCUGCCCGAGAGCCCAUUACGGAAGACCUUGACCAGGCCUUUCCCACUGCCUCCCCUCCUUUUCCCAGGAAACAGUUCUAUGCGAUGGGCAGGAGCGAGAAAGAGCAGGUUCGGAGGAGCUUGAGAAUAACAGCUAAACAAGACGCUAAUUAGACAUGUUCCCCUGGGAAACUCUAGGGAGGAACGCAUCUGGAGGGAGAUGUGUUUCGUUCUCCUUUCCCUUGGGAAAGGAAGCUGGACACCUGCUUUGCAGAGAAAUGAAACCGGGAUAAAAGUGCCCGACACGAAGAAUUCCGUGCGGAGUCAACAGAUCUACUUCGGGAGUGAUUUCGUGGUUCCAGCCAAGUGUGGACUUCGCAAAGUCCGCAUCUCCAGUUCCUUGCCUUGCCUUGUCUAGCCAAGUAUUCAAGAACUAUCUUGCCUUGUUUCCAGCCUUGGACCUUGCUCCUAGUAUCAAGCCUUGUUUCUAACUUUGCUGUGGACUUACUCUGAACUUUGGAAAGAAUUUGGACGUUUCCCCACUCUAUUGCUUGCAAAUAGAGUGUGUUUCGGUUUGGAUCUUCAACUUUGGACUCUAAUAUAAAAUAUUGGACAAUAUAAUUUUGGACUAUUUCUGACCUUUCCUGAAAGGUCUUUUAUUGGACUAUAUUUCCUACUUGUUUUUAUUAUUCUUACAUAUUUCCUUAAUAAAGAUAUUAGAUAGUUUUUGGCCUCCGUGUGUCGGUUCUUAGUGCUCUCGUUGCCCUGGGCGUGACAAAGGGUUUCAUAAGGCAGAGGAAGCAGACUUGUUUUCCACUGCCCUUGAAACUUGGACUUUUUAAAAUCUAUGUUAAUUUUAUCAAUAUUUGUAUGUAUGUAUUUUUAUCCUUUACAAUUUUAUCUUGUAAAUCGCCUAGAGCAUCUUGGAUGGAGGGCGAUUAAUAAGUAAUUAAAUGAUGAUGAUGAUGAUGAUGAUAAUGAUGAUGACUUGGAGCAAUGGGUUCAAAUUAAGAAUGGAGAUUCCACCUGAACAUUAGGAAGAACUUCCUGACCAUACAAGUUGUUCAACAGUGGAACUCUCUGCGUCAGAGUCUGGUGGGAGCUUCUUCCUUGGAAACUUUUAAACAGAGGUUGGUUGACCAUCUGCCAGGGGUGCUUUGAUUGUGCUUUUCCCGCAUGGCAGGGGGUUGGACCAGAUGGCCCAUGUGGUCUCUUCCAACUUGAUAUUCUAUGAUUCUAUGACUUGGCCAGCUGGAGUUCGCUGCUGUCAUCCAGACCCUCAGUGGAGAGUUGCAGUCAGUCAGGAUAAGUGUUGGUGCCUUGAAAGGAAAGAGGAAGAACCAGACCUGCUGUCUGUGCCAAUUGGGUCUCCAAGGGGAGGGUAUGCCACAACUAGGGUGUAACAGCUGAAAAUACUUUCUUCCAUUUUCCUUGCAUAACCUUUUUCCUAUGUCUUUUAAAAUAUGGCCAUAUUGCUAUUCACUUUGUUGGAUGGAGACAGUCUGGAACGACAUUGAACACUUAGACUAUCUUACAAUGUGAUCUCACUGAAUACAGUUCCAAUUACAGUAGAGUCUCACCUAUCCAACAUAAAUGGGCCGGCAGAAUGUUAGAUAAGUGAAUAUGUUGGGUAAUAAGGAGAGAUUAAGGAGAAGCCUAUUAAACAUCAAAUUAAGUUAUGAUUUUACAAAUUAAGCACCAAAACAUCAUGUUAUAAAACAAAUUUGACAGAAAAAGUACAAUAUGCAGUAAUGCUACGUAGUAAUUACUGUAUUUACGAAUUUAGCACCAAAAUAUCAUGGUAUAUUGAAAACAUUGACUACAAAAAAAGGUUGGAUAAUCCAGAACGUUGGAUAAGCGAAUGUUGGAUAAGUGAGACUCUACUGUAUUCACAAAAAUAUUUGAAUACCAAAGAGUCAUGCUAAUGCCUAGGGAAGUGUUCUCAUCAGGUUGAGAGUGCAAUUAUAAGUUCAAAUUCUGCCAGAUUUUGACCACAGAAUUCAACUGGAAGUCUUGAGAGACUUCUACAGACAUCACUAGUGUCAUGGUUCGCAAAGGCACUGUGCUGUGUGUGUUAACUGGAAAAUUAAGUGCAUGAAGCUGAUUGGCUGAGCCUGCAAAGAUCUGGGGAUCAAUUGAUACUGUUUCUGUUCUGCUGCUGCAGAACAUAUUUGCACAAGUUUUCAGUGCUGACUGAAUACAGAGAGGCCUUACUAUUUUGAGGCCUACUUUGCUGCUGAGGAAAGAGGGAGAAGAACCAGGACUGUAUUCUUCUCUGAAGCAAAUUUGUGGACUGAGAAAGGAUUGUUUAUGACUGUAGAUUUCUGUAAGUGAUCAGAGGGACCAUUGUAAAUACUACCUUUUUUUGAUCUCUUGGUGUUGCAUGAAAAUCCGGGGUAGUUACCCCAGGAGUUGUAAUACACCUGGAUCGCUUCAAUACUCACUUUGUUUCUUCGCCCUCCGUCUCGUCCUGACAAUAAAAAUGUGCAUUUGUUGUGGUUCAGCUUUU
This is a long non-coding RNA of Anolis carolinensis (green anole), 5909 nucleotides long. RefSeq lists it as uncharacterized. The transcript is spliced from 2 exons. The record is from RefSeq and is a predicted model, not a curated record. NCBI's taxonomy places the organism in Eukaryota, Metazoa, Chordata, Lepidosauria, Squamata, Anolidae.